GACGAACGCUGGCGGCGUGCCUAAUACAUGCAAGUAGAACGCACAGUUUAUACCGUAGCUUGCUACACCAUAGACUGUGAGUUGCGAACGGGUGAGUAACGCGUAGGUAACCUGCCUGGUAGCGGGGGAUAACUAUUGGAAACGAUAGCUAAUACCGCAUAAUAUUAAUUAUUGCAUGAUAAUUAAUUGAAAGGUGCAAUUGCACCACUACCAGAUGGACCUGCGUUGUAUUAGCUAGUAGGUGAGGUAACGGCUCACCUAGGCGACGAUACAUAGCCGACCUGAGAGGGUGAUCGGCCACACUGGACUGAGACACGGCCCAGACUCCUACGGGAGGCAGCAGUAGGGAAUCUUCGGCAAUGGACGAAAGUCUGACCGAGCAACGCCGCGUGAGUGAAGAAGGUUUUCGGAUCGUAAAGCUCUGUUGUAAGAGAAGAACGGGUGUGAGAGUGGAAAGUUCACACUGUGACGGUAUCUUACCAGAAAGGGACGGCUAACUACGUG
RNAcentral lists this ribosomal RNA (504 nucleotides) under uncultured bacterium. RNAcentral describes it as "partial 16S ribosomal RNA". It matches the Rfam family "Bacterial small subunit ribosomal RNA", at positions 28 to 507 of the family's 1533-position model. The record is from RNAcentral.